This 253-nucleotide ribosomal RNA is filed under the name uncultured bacterium. Its description in RNAcentral is "partial 16S ribosomal RNA". It matches the Rfam family "Bacterial small subunit ribosomal RNA", at positions 524 to 776 of the family's 1533-position model. The record is from RNAcentral.
UACGUAGGGUGCGAGCGUUAAUCGGAAUUACUGGGCGUAAAGCGUGCGCAGGCGGUCCGCAAAGUCUGAUGUGAAAGCCCCGGGCUCAACCUGGGAACUGCAUUGGAAACUAACGGGCUCGAGUGUGGCAGAGGGGGGUGGAAUUCCACGUGUAGCAGUGAAAUGCGUAGAGAUGUGGAGGAACACCGAUGGCGAAGGGAGCCCCCUGGGCUAACACUGACGCUCAGGCACGAAAGCGUGGGGAGCAAACAGG